This is a long non-coding RNA of Dreissena polymorpha, 589 nucleotides long. RefSeq lists it as uncharacterized. The record is from RefSeq and is a predicted model, not a curated record. The transcript has 3 exons. NCBI's taxonomy places the organism in Eukaryota, Metazoa, Mollusca, Bivalvia, Myida, Dreissenidae.
GGUCAUUUCAAGGUCAUUCAUUUGAAGGUCAAGGUCACUGUGACCUUGAAUGUAAAAAUGUUAAAGUUCUUAUUUCAUGGUAUAACUUUGGUAUGCUUGGACCUAGAGUCUUCAAACUUGACAUGAAGGUUGGCCAGGAUUAACAGAUGACCACUGGUCAUUUCAAGGUCAUUCAUUUGAAGGUGAAGGUCACUGUGACCUUCAAUAUAAAAAUGUUAAAGUUGUUAUAACUUUGGUAUGCUUGGACCUAGAGUCUUGAAACUUGACAUGAAGGUUGGCCAGAACUAGUAAGUAACCACUGGACAUUUCAAGGUCAUUCAUUUGAAGGUCAAGGUCACUGUGACCUUGAAUGUAAAAAUGUUAAAGUUGUUAUAACUUUGGUAUGCUUGGACCUAGAGUCUUGAAACUUGACAUGAAGGUUGGCCAGAACUAGUAAAUGACCCCUGGUCAUUUCAAGGUCAUUCAUUUGAAGGUGAAGGUCACUGUGACCUUCAAUAUAAAAAUGUUAAAGUUGUUAUAACUUUGGUAUGCUUGGACCUAGAGUCUUGAAACUUGACAUGAAGGUUGGCCAGAACUAGUAAGUAACCAC